GUUGAAUUUAUUAGUACAUGUACCAAAUUGGAACGAUACAGAGAAGAUUAUCGUGGCCUCUACGCAAAAGGACAACACUCAAAAUCGUGAAGCGUUCCAUAUUUUU
RNAcentral lists this small nuclear RNA (106 nucleotides) under Rhodnius prolixus. The record is from RNAcentral. Lineage: Eukaryota; Metazoa; Arthropoda; Insecta; Hemiptera; Reduviidae.